This 358-nucleotide transfer-messenger RNA is filed under the name human gut metagenome. It matches the Rfam family "transfer-messenger RNA". Rfam says of the family: Bacterial tmRNA, also known as 10Sa RNA or SsrA, is named for its dual tRNA and mRNA-like properties. Its role is to liberate the mRNA from a stalled ribosome. The record is from RNAcentral.
GGGGGUGUAAUUGGUUUCGACAGUACCCCAGAAAUAUUAAUAGCGAGUAGUGGAUUUCUCACUUGGCCACUUAAAAAAUGUGAGGAAAUAAAAUAAACGCUGAUAAUAAAGAAUUAGCAUACGCUGCCUAAGUAUAGCGACGUCUUAGAAAAAAUGCCCACGUUUUUUCAUAAGGCGACGAAUUAGUGGGAAACGAAGCUAUUUCUUGCUAUGGAAGUAGUGGGUAAAAUAAUAGCUACUUAAAAUAUAAGUUUGUUUGUUAAUUUGUAUUUUAGGGAAUUCUAAUAACAAACUGCACUCGGAGAAGUUAAUAUGGAAAGGAUAUUGGACAGGAGUUCGACUCUCCUCACCUCCACCA